This 79-nucleotide non-coding RNA is filed under the name Methanocella paludicola. RNAcentral's name for it is "Fluoride sequence". It matches the Rfam family "Fluoride riboswitch aptamer (crcB RNA motif)". Lineage: Archaea; Methanobacteriati; Methanobacteriota; Methanomicrobia; Methanocellales; Methanocellaceae. The record is from RNAcentral.
ACGUAUAUCGGCGAUGAAGCUCGCCGUGCUCUUAUGCAGAACCGCCGCACGGACUGCGACUAAUGGCUUCUGUUCGUUA